Setaria italica (foxtail millet) is the source of this 3024-nucleotide RNA transcript. It is a transcript of the gene named VID27-like protein, with no coding region annotated. NCBI's taxonomy places the organism in Eukaryota, Viridiplantae, Streptophyta, Magnoliopsida, Poales, Poaceae. The transcript is spliced from 3 exons. The record is from RefSeq and is a predicted model, not a curated record.
CGCCCUAUCUUCCUUCCCCUCUCCUGUCCUCGUAUUCUUAUUCUUGAUGUUGCCGAGUUGAGAUCCGUAGCGAGUUCUUGAUGGCCGCGCUUGGGUGGCUCAAGAAUCGGCUGGAGGAGGAGUCCCUGCCUACGGAGGAGUGGGAGUGGCGCGGUGACGCCAUGGGGCUGAGCGCCGGCGUGGAGUAGAUGGAGGCAGCCGUCUUCUCGCGGUUGUGCGAGUCCCUGGAGGGGCUCUGCACGUAGUAGAUGGGGCGCGUGCGCGGCGGGGAGCGCGGGGACGGCACCAGGCUCGAGUCCGUCUUGGUGUGCGACAUCUUGCCUGAUUUCUGAUGCUACAGCCUGGCUGGAAGAGCUGCAAUCCCACCAGUACCAUUAAGAGUUGGGGAAGGUGAACCACCCCCUUCUUGGAAUCCGGUACCAACUCCAAUAGGUACAUAAUUCUAUCUAUGUUUAAGUCUAUUCCAAUGAGUAAUUUUUUCUAUUGCAAUGAGUAAAAUUGCCAUGACAACCUGUAUAGUAUUCUCGUUCCUGGAGUACUUUGUUUAGAAACAAGUGGUCAAAUUUUGAGUGGUUAUAUAUGAAACCGAAAAUGGAUACUAGGCCUAUGAGAGAAGUAUAGUAAGUGUUUAUUUGUUUUAAACUAGAAGACUUGAAAAAAGUGAGGCCUUAAUGUAACAAUUCCUAUUCUGAUUUUCUUACUUUAGUGUAACAAAAAUAACAUUUAAAGAAUCAUUAUACAAUUGGAGCUCAAGUUACUUUUGAUUGAUGGUAAUUUUUGUCUUGUAAGGUGUCCUGGACCCCAUGUUUGUGCUAUACUGCUAUUCGAAGAUAAUCCUCUUGGUGAUAUUGUCAAGUUCAUGCUCCUUCUUUGAGUUCGUUAUGCCAAUUGAAUUGGAGUAAAUAUUACCUGGCAGUUAUAUUAACCUCUUGGCUCCUAAGUGAAACUAUGCAAGUGCUGCAUAUUUUCUCGAACACUCGUGCUGCAACUUUACACAUGGAUGGCUUUUAUUUUUUUGUUACUGCAGUUAGGAGAUAAGGCAGCUAUAUGCUUUGAACCGAAGUAAUAUAAGAACUAAUAUUAUCGAUAUUGCAUUAUCUGAUAGUCGUCUCAUUUCACUAUUAUGACUGUAGCAUGAGUUCAUUCUUUUCUUCUACUUACAUCCAUAGUGCCAAAUUAGUCCAGCCUUCAAGGGUGUUACCAUUUCACCAUGUUUAUAUCUUACACCCUAGAUUGGUUUGCUUUGGCCACCUGCGAAGAGUUUUAAUUUGACUUUGUUAGGCUAGGUUAGCAUAUAGUAUCAUUUAUAUGCUUCUAUCUGACUAUAAAUUUAUAUGCUUUAGUUCUGCAAUGAAUAUCUCAUUGAGAGAUCAUAUUAGAAAGAGGAGGGAGGAAGAAGAUGAUGACAUGAUGAUGUUUCUAUUCCCUGCCUUAUAUCUGAUGGGUUCUGCUAGAGAAGGAGGAGUAAAGAAGAAACGUCAUACAUCAGAAGAAACAAGAGAGGUUAAGGUUCGUCGACUCCUUGAGGGACAUAUCAAGAACUGUCAAGUUACAUUUAGGAUGGAACCCCACAUCUUCAAAGAGUUGGCGACUUAUCUUAGAAGGAAAAGACUCGUUGUUGAUACAAGGAUUACGGUGGAGGAGAAGUUGGGUUUCUUCCUAUACAUGUUAAGUCGCAACGCCUCAUAUGAGGAUCCUGCAGUGACCUUUGGGCACAGCAACGACACCGUCCAUCGUCACAUCAACCACUUCUUCAAGAAGGUCAUUCCCACACUUUCUCAUCGUUUCCUCCAGUCCCCCGAUCCUAAUCAAGUGCAUCCGAAAAUCCAAGAUAAUCCUAGAUUCUAUCCAUUCUUCAAGAAUUGUCUUGGUGCCAUUGAUGGAACUCAUAUCCCCGUUUCCAUAUCCCCUGAGAAGCAUUCUCCUUUUAGGAAUAGAAAGGGCACACUAAGCAUUAAUGUGAUGGUGGCAUGUGAUUUUGAUCUCAACAUCACUUUUAUUUAUAGUAGAUGGGAGGGAUCAGCUACAGAUUCCAGAGUGCUAAGAUCGGCUAUGAGCAAGGGCUUCCAGGUACCUCCAGGCAAAUUCUAUCCGGUUGAUAGAGGGUAUGCAAAUACUCCAUCUUUCCUCGCUCCAUAUCGAGAGGUUCGAUACCAUUUGAAAGAAUUUGGAGCUGGACAUCGAAGACCACAAAACUCAAAGGAGCUCUUCAACCACUGCCACGCACUACUGAGGAACCAUGUCGAAAGGACUUUGGGAGUGCUUAAGAAGCGCUUCCCCAUUCUCAAAGUUGCCACAUUCCUACGUUAGAAAAUCAAGUGAAAAAUACCUAUAGCUGCAUCCAUCUUCCACAAUCUAAUCCGAUUACUUCAUGGAGACGAGGAAUGGUUGGAUCAUCAGCCGGAUAAUAUUGAUCCAACACACUUUGUUUCUUUACCCAAUGGCGAUCAAAACAAUGACUCAGGCACUGCACAAGGCAAUGCUUUGAGAGAUACCAUCGUCCAAGAAAUGUGGGUUCAGUACCAGCAACAUGUAAAUUAGUUUUCAUGAAUUAAUAAGCUUGUAUCAUGAAUAAGUUGAUGAAUAAGUUAAUAAGCUUGUAUCAUGAAUAAGUUUUUUCUUUUGAAAAGUGAUGGUUGGAAAAGGCUCCCCAAAGCUCAAUGUGAUUGCAAGGGGGUCGCCAAAGUUGAGUAGUUUCCUGCCUACAACAAGUGCUAUAAAAAAAGAAGUCUUCUCCUACAUGCAGUGGGGCAAAGAGGAGUGGAGGAAAACAAAGAGCGGACUGGAACCCAACUUUUGAGAAAUCACUUGUUGAAAUUCUGCAUGAGUAUAAAGAUAGUGGCUAUAGAAGUGACAACGGUUGGAACACUGAAGGGUGGAACAAGAUGGUGAAGGAGUUCCAUCUGAGAAACAAGUCUGUCUCAUACACAAAGGCACAAAUUCAAGAUAAAUAAUGUCAGCUUAAGAGAGGCUACAAGAUGCUCAAAGCGGCAAGAAUGCAAAGUGGGUCAAAAUGGAAUGAGC